Molecule: long non-coding RNA, 709 nt
Filed under: Equus caballus (horse)
Lineage: Eukaryota; Metazoa; Chordata; Mammalia; Perissodactyla; Equidae
Description: lncRNA (ENSECAG00000049977.1)
Source: RNAcentral
CAGUCCUGAUCUGAACACCACGAUGCAGGGGCAGUGCACAUUUCAGUCUGAUGACAACAUUCUCCUGAUUUCACAACACAGGAGGGCUUCGUGGCAUAAAGAGUGAACUCAAAAUGCCUCAACACAGCUUUCAAGACCUGUUGAAAGAUCUUGAAAAGGCAGCUGUUUCUCAAACUAUGGGUUUGUGUGCCCCCUGCGUCAGAAUCACUGAGCUGUUUGAAAAAAAGGUAAAUCCUGUCCUUUGGGCCAGAAAGGCUGAAUCCGGACCUCAGAAGAUAGAACCCUGAAGAUGCCUUUUUAUGAAGUAUUCCAGAUUAUGAAUUCAUUUGGGACAAGAUCGGUGGGUUCAUCUUGGUUUUGCCGUGCGCCCAGGUGUUCUGCACUGUGCUUUCAGGUGGGCCUCACCCAAUCCGUUGAAGAUCUUAGGAGAAAAGACUGCAGUCCCUCAAUGAGGAAGGAAUUCUGCCUCCAGACUACCUUUGGACUGGAGACUGCAACAUUAAUUCUUGCUGGAAUUCCAAUCUGCCUCCCUGAAGAUUUUAGACUUGCCAAACUCCACAGUCUCACAAGUCAAUUCUUUAAAAGAAAUCUCUUUAUAUAUAUUUCUCUCUGUGUGUGCCCGAUUAUUUCUGUUUCUCUGGGGAACCCUGACUAACAUACCUCUUUUUUCCUUGAUCUCCUUUCUUGGCAUCACCCUGGGGCAGAGGAG